GCUUGUCUCAAAGAUUAAGCCAUGCAUGUCUCAGAAUAAAUCUCUAUACGUUGAAUCUGCAAAUGGCUCUUUAAAACAGUUAUUGUUUACUUGAUGGUCAUUCCUUACAUGGAUAACUGAGGUAAUUCUUGAGCUAAUACAUGCGAAAAAUCUCGACUCACGGAGAGAUGCUUUUAUUAGAUCAAAACCAAACGGCUUCGGCCGUCUCAUUGGUGACUCUGAAUAACUUUGGGCUGAUCGUAUGGCCUUGUGCCGACGACGUUUCCUUCGAAGGUGUGCCCUAUCAACUGUCGACUGUGAUAUAGACGCUCACAGUGGUUUUGACGGGUAACGGGGAAUCAGGGUUCGAUUCCGGAGAGGGAGCCUUAAAAACGGCUACCACAUCCAAGGAAGGCAGCAGG
Molecule: ribosomal RNA, 401 nt
Filed under: Crustacea environmental sample
Lineage: Eukaryota; Metazoa; Arthropoda
Description: partial small subunit ribosomal RNA
Rfam family: Eukaryotic small subunit ribosomal RNA
Source: RNAcentral